AAUUGAACCAAGGAGUCGUUAAGGUAUGAAGAUGCCUCCAAGAUCACUCAAUUCAACCCAAACCAUCCCCACCAUCACCCUAAAUUGAACCAAGGAGUCGUUAAGGUAUGAAGACGCCUCCAAGAUCACUCAAUUCAACCCAAACCAUCCCCACCGUGACCCUAAAUUGAACCAAGGAGUCGUUAAGGUAUGAAGAUGCCUCCAAGAUCACUCAAUUCAACCCAAACCAUCCCCACCGUGACCCUAAAUUGAACCAAGGAGUCGUUAAGGUAUGAAGAUGCCUCCAAGAUCACUCAAUUCAACCCAAACCAUCCCCACCAUCACCCUAAAUUGAACCAAGGAGUCGUUAAGGUAUGAAGACGCCUCCAAGAUCACUCAAUUCAACCCAAAUCAUCCCCACCAUCACCCUAAAUUGAACCAAGGAGUCGUUAAGGUAUGAAGACGCCUCCAAGAUCACUCAAUUCAACCCAAACCAUCCCCACCGUGACCCUAAAUUGAACCAAGGAGUCGUUAAGGUAUGAAGACGCCUCCAAGAUCACUCAAUUCAACCCAAACCAUCCCCACCGUGACCCUAAAUUGAACCAAGGAGUCGUUAAGGUAUGAAGAUGCCUCCAAGAUCACUCAAUUCAACCCAAACCAUCCCCACCAUCACCCUAAAUUGAACCAAGGAGUCGUUAAGGUAUGAAGACGCCUCCAAGAUCACUCAAUUCAACCCAAACCAUCCCCACCGUGACCCUAAAUUGAACCAAGGAGUCGUUAAGGUAUGAAGAUGCCUCCAAGAUCACUCAAUUCAACCCAAACCAUCCCCACCGUGACCCUAAAUUGAACCAAGGAGUCGUUAAGGUAUGAAGAUGCCUCCAAGAUCACUCAAUUCAACCCAAACCAUCCCCACCAUCACCCUAAAUUGAACCAAGGAGUCGUUAAGGUAUGAAGACGCCUCCAAGAUCACUCAAUUCAACCCAAACCAUCCCCACCGUGACCCUAAAUUGAACCAAGGAGUCGUUAAGGUAUGAAGAUGCCUCCAAGAUCACUCAAUUCAACCCAAACCAUCCCCACCAUCACCCUAAAUUGAACCAAGGAGUCGUUAAGGUAUGAAGAUGCCUCCAAGAUCACUCAAUUCAACCCAAAUCAUCCCCACCAUCACC
Molecule: long non-coding RNA, 1145 nt
Organism: Tympanuchus pallidicinctus (lesser prairie-chicken)
Lineage: Eukaryota; Metazoa; Chordata; Aves; Galliformes; Phasianidae
Exons: 8
Source: RefSeq, a predicted model, not a curated record